This is a non-coding RNA of Schistocerca nitens (vagrant locust), 75 nucleotides long. The record is from the annotation of a RefSeq genome assembly. NCBI's taxonomy places the organism in Eukaryota, Metazoa, Arthropoda, Insecta, Orthoptera, Acrididae.
GCCCUUGAUGGCUCAGUUGGAUAGAGCAUCUGUCAUGUAAUCAGGAGAUCCCAGGUUCAAGUCCUGGUCGGGGCA